AGUACUUACUAAAGGUUAAUGAAAUCAAGAUUAAAAAAGGAGUUGAUUUACUUCAGAACUUGAUCAAAUAUUUUCAUGCACAGUGCAAUUUCUUCCAGGAUGGACUGAAAGCUGUUGAAACCCUCAAACCCUCCAUUGAAACUCUUUCAACGGAUCUUCACAUAAUCAAACAGGCCCAGGAUGAAGAAAGGAAACAGUUAAUACAGCUACGAGAUAUUUUAAAAUCAGCACUCCAGGUUGAACAAAAAGAGGAUUCACAAAUUCGGCAAAGUACAACCUAUAGUUUACACCAACCUCAGGGAAAUAAAGAACAUGGGACUGAAAGGAAUGGUAAUCUCUACAAGAAAAGUGAUGGGAUCAGAAAAGUAUGGCAAAAAAGGAAAUGCUCAGUUAAAAACGGUUUUCUGACAAUAUCCCAUGGUACAG
Vombatus ursinus (common wombat) is the source of this 426-nucleotide long non-coding RNA. RefSeq lists it as uncharacterized. Lineage: Eukaryota; Metazoa; Chordata; Mammalia; Diprotodontia; Vombatidae. The transcript is spliced from 5 exons. The record is from RefSeq and is a predicted model, not a curated record.